This 230-nucleotide long non-coding RNA is filed under the name Lathyrus oleraceus (garden pea). RNAcentral's name for it is "Pisum sativum (pea) long non-coding RNA (PSAT_LNC033721)". The record is from RNAcentral. Lineage: Eukaryota; Viridiplantae; Streptophyta; Magnoliopsida; Fabales; Fabaceae.
AAGCUUUUGACAGUAUCAAAGAAUAUCUGUUUGAGCCUCCGAUUUUGUCUCCAUCUGUUGAAGGAAUACCAUUGAUCAUAUAUUUGACUAUGCUCGAAGAGAGUAUGGGUUGUUGUAACACCCCAAAAUUUGCCCUCCUCAUUCAUGCAUUCAUUUAGUAUUUCAUAUUGCAUUUCAUCAUGUCAAUCAGAAUUAGAUCCAAGAAACUUUAAAAAAAAAAAAAAAAAAAA